This 238-nucleotide ribosomal RNA is filed under the name uncultured bacterium. RNAcentral describes it as "partial 16S ribosomal RNA". It matches the Rfam family "Bacterial small subunit ribosomal RNA", at positions 539 to 776 of the family's 1533-position model. The record is from RNAcentral.
CGUUGUUCGGAAUUACUGGGCGUAAAGCGAGUGUAGGCGGUUGCCCAAGUCCGGUGUGAAAGCCUUGAGCUCAACUCAAGAAAUGCACUUGGUACUGGGUGGCUAGAGGACCGGAGAGGAUAGUGGAAUUCCCAGUGUAGUGGUGAAAUACGUAGAGAUUGGGAAGAACACCAGUGGCGAAGGCGGCUAUCUGGACGGUUACUGACGCUAAGACUCGAAAGCGUGGGGAGCAAACAGG